UACGUAGGGGGCAAGCGUUGUCCGGAUUUAUUGGGCGUAAAGAGCGUGUAGGCGGCCGCACAGGUCCGUUGUGAAAACUGGAGGCUUAACCUUCAGACGUCGAUGGAAACCGUGCGGCUAGAGUCCGGAAGAGGAGAGUGGAAUUCCUGGUGUAGCGGUGAAAUGCGCAGAUAUCAGGAAGAACACCCGUGGCGAAGGCGGCUCUCUGGGCCGAUACUGACGCUGAGGAGCGAAAGCGUGGGGAGCAAACAGG
This 253-nucleotide ribosomal RNA is filed under the name uncultured bacterium. RNAcentral's name for it is "partial 16S ribosomal RNA". It matches the Rfam family "Bacterial small subunit ribosomal RNA", at positions 524 to 776 of the family's 1533-position model. The record is from RNAcentral.